AUAAAAACGUUGAAAAAGGAAAGUAGCAUAAUCAGUCUUUUCAGAGAGGAAAUUAUUUUGCUGGAAGAUUUCUAAAGAAGGUUUAUGUGAAGUGCCCUUUGGAGUUGUGUACCGAAUAUAGUAGGCUACAUCGGGUUCACCCGUUAUAGUGAUAGGGUAUAAAUUUAUUAGUACCUGAAUAAAGUGAGAUUUUAAUAUCUAACUAGAGUGGAACCACGGAGAAUAUACUUCGUCUCUAUA
Non-coding RNA from Clostridium sp., 240 nucleotides. Lineage: Bacteria; Bacillati; Bacillota; Clostridia; Eubacteriales; Clostridiaceae. The record is from Rfam.